GAUGAACGCUGGCGGCGUGCCUAAUACAUGCAAGUCGAGCGAACGGACGAGAAGCUUGCUUCUCUGAUGUUAGCGGCGGACGGGUGAGUAACACGUGGAUAACCUACCUAUAAGACUGGGAUAACUUCGGGAAACCGGAGCUAAUACCGGAUGAUAUUUUGAACCGCAUGGUUCAAAAGUGAAAGACGGUCUUGCUGUCACUUAUAGAUGGAUCCGCGCUGCAUUAGCUAGUUGGUAAGGUAACGGCUUACCAAGGCAACGAUGCAUAGCCGACCUGAGAGGGUGAUCGGCCACACUGGAACUGAGACACGGUCCAGACGCCUACGGGAGGCAGCAGUAGGGAAUCUUCCGCAAUGGGCGAAAGCCUGACGGAGCAACGCCGCGUGAGUGAUGAAGGUCUCCGGAUCGUAAAACUCUGUUAUUAGGGAAGAACAUAUGUGUAAGUAACUGUGCACAUCUGGACGGUACCUAAUCAGAAAGCCACGGCUAACUACGU
RNAcentral lists this ribosomal RNA (496 nucleotides) under uncultured bacterium. RNAcentral describes it as "partial 16S ribosomal RNA". It matches the Rfam family "Bacterial small subunit ribosomal RNA", at positions 28 to 506 of the family's 1533-position model. The record is from RNAcentral.